AACGAACGCUGGCGGCAUGCCUAACACAUGCAAGUCGAACGAAGGCUUCGGCCUUAGUGGCGCACGGGUGCGUAACGCGUGGGAAUCUGCCCUUUGCUUCGGAAUAACAGUUAGAAAUGACUGCUAAUACCGGAUGAUGUCGCAAGACCAAAGAUUUAUCGGCAAAGGAUGAGCCCGCGUAGGAUUAGCUAGUUGGUGGGGUAAAGGCCUACCAAGGCGACGAUCCUUAGCUGGUCUGAGAGGAUGAUCAGCCACACUGGGACUGAGACACGGCCCAGUCUCCUACGGGAGGCAGCAGUGGGGAAUAUUGGACAAUGGGCGAAAGCCUGAUCCAGCAAUGCCGCGUGAGUGAUGAAGGCCUUAGGGUUGUAAAGCUCUUUUACCCGGGAUGAUAAUGACAGUACCGGGAGAAUAAGCUCCGGCUAACUCCGUG
RNAcentral lists this ribosomal RNA (433 nucleotides) under uncultured bacterium. RNAcentral's name for it is "partial 16S ribosomal RNA". It matches the Rfam family "Bacterial small subunit ribosomal RNA", at positions 29 to 507 of the family's 1533-position model. The record is from RNAcentral.